CUCCUCAUGGGGAGGCCUUUCUUUCCUCUGGGUGGGAGGCAACUGGGAGAGGGGGGCACUCAAGCCCAAGGUCAGAGGCCAGAGGCAUUCUCCCUACCCACGGAACUGCAUCCCCCCCCCAGUCCUGACCACUAGGCUACCUUGCUUCUCCCCUCCUCCUUUGCCCUGUCUCCCCACAGGCAGCCCUGCCUGUGACCUCCUCACCCAUUCAUUCACCAAAUAUUUACUGUGUGUGCACCAUGAGCCAGCUUCAUUCCGGGCACUUGGGGCAAUUCUCAAGGACAGUGAAGCAGCCCAGACCCCAAUCCCGAGGGAGUUUAUGGUCUGGAAACAAAUGGAUAUAAAUCUGAAUGAUCCAAAACACACAAAGAGAGCAGACAGGGCUUCACUGUAUUUUAAACAUGAAUCCUCAAAAU
This is a non-coding RNA of Myodes glareolus (Bank vole), 416 nucleotides long. Lineage: Eukaryota; Metazoa; Chordata; Mammalia; Rodentia; Cricetidae. The record is from RefSeq and is a predicted model, not a curated record.